UGGCAUCUACACAUGCAGUCGAGCGGAUGAAGGGAGCUUGUUCUUGGAUUCGGCGGCGGACGGGUGAGUAAUGCAUGGGAGUCUGCCUGGUAGUGGGGGAUAACGUCCGGAAACGGGCGCUAAUACCGCAUACGUCCUGAGGGAGAAAGUGGGGGAUCUUCGGACCUCACGCUAUCCGAUGAGCCUACGUCGGAUUAACUAGUUGGUGGGGUAAGGCCUACCCAGGCGACCAUCCAUACCUGGUUGGACAGGAUGAACGACCACACUGGAACUGACACACAGUCCAUACUCAUACGGGAGGCAGCAGUGGGGAAUAUUGGACAAUGGGCGAAAGCCUGAUCCAGCCAUGCCGCGUGUGUGAAGAAGGUCUUCGGAUUGUAAAGCACUUUAAGUUGGGAGGAAGGGCAGUAAGUUAAUACCUUGCUGUUUUGACGUUACCUACAGAAUAAGCACCGGCUAACUUCGUGCCAGCAGCCGCGGUAAUACAAAGGGUGCAAGCGUUAAUCGGAAUUACUGACUGGUAAAGCGCGCGCAGGUGGUUCAGCAAGUUAGAUGUGAAAUCCCCGGGCUCAACCUGGGAACUGCAUCAUAAACUACUGAGCUAGAGUACGGUAGAGGGUGGUGGAAUUUCCUGUGUAGCGGUGAAAUGCGUAGAUAUAGGUAAGGAACACCAGCUGGCGAAGGCGACCACCUGGACUGAUACUGACACUGAGGUGCGAAAGCGUGGUGAGCAAACAGGAUUAGAUACCCUGGUAGUCCACGCCGUAAACGAUGUCGACUAGCCGUUGGGAUCCUUGAGAUCUUAGUGGCGCAGCUAACGCGAUAAGUCGACCGCCUGGGGAGUACGGCCGCAAGGUUAAAACUCAAAUGAAUUGACGGGGGCCCGCACAAGCGGUGGAGCAUGUGGUUUAAUUCGAAGCAACGCGAAGAACCUUACCUGGCCUUGACAUGCUGAGAACUUUCCAGAGAUGGAUUGGUGCCUUCGGGAACUCAGACACAGGUGCUGCAUGGCUGUCGUCAGCUCGUGUCGUGAGAUGUUGGGUUAAGUCCCGUAACGAGCGCAACCCUUGUCCUUAGUUACCAGCACCUCGGGUGGGCACUCUAAGGAGACUGCCGGUGACAAACCGGAGGAAGGUGGGGAUGACGUCAAGUCAUCAUGGCCCUUACGGCCAGGGCUACACACGUGCUACAAUGGUCGGUACAAAGGGUUGCCAAGCCGCGAGGUGGAGCUAAUCCCAUAAAACCGAUCGUAGUCCGGAUCGCAGUCUGCAACUCGACUGCGUGAAGUCGGAAUCGCUAGUAAUCGUGAAUCAGUAAUGUCACGGUGAAUACGUUCCCGGGCCUUGUACACACCGCCCGUCACACCAUGGGAGUGGGUUGCUCCAGAAGUAGCUAGUCUAACCGCAAGGGGGA
Molecule: ribosomal RNA, 1413 nt
Filed under: Pseudomonas aeruginosa
Lineage: Bacteria; Pseudomonadati; Pseudomonadota; Gammaproteobacteria; Pseudomonadales; Pseudomonadaceae
Description: bacterial SSU rRNA
Rfam family: Bacterial small subunit ribosomal RNA
Source: RNAcentral